This 460-nucleotide ribosomal RNA is filed under the name uncultured bacterium. RNAcentral describes it as "partial 16S ribosomal RNA". It matches the Rfam family "Bacterial small subunit ribosomal RNA", at positions 338 to 795 of the family's 1533-position model. The record is from RNAcentral.
CCUACGGGUGGCAGCAGUGAGGAAUAUUGGUCAAUGGGCGCGAGCCUGAACCAGCCAAGUCGCGUGAGGGAAGACGGCCCUACGGGUUGUAAACCUCUUUUGCCGGGGAGUAACGGGCGCCACGUGUGGCGCCACUGAGAGUACCCGGAGAAAAAGCAUGGGUUAACUCCGUGCCAGCAGCCGGGGUAAUACGGAGGAUGCGAGCGUUAUCCGGUUUUAUUGGGUUUAAAGGGUGCGUAGGGGGUGCGUUAAGUCAGUGGGAAAAUUGGGGGGCUAAACCCCUUCCCGCCAUUGAAACUGGCGCUCUUGAGUGGAAGAGAGGUAUGCGGAAUGCGUGGUGUAGCGGUGAAAUGCAUAGAUAUCACGCAGAACCCCGAUUGCGAAGGCAGCAUGCCGGCUUCCUACUGACGCUGAAGCACGAAAGCGUGGGGAUCGAACAGGAUUAGAUACCCUAGUAGUC